CGAAAGCCUGACGGAGCAAGACCGCGCGAGGGAGGAAGGCUCUUGGGUUGUAAACCUCUUUUCUCAGGGAAGAAGCUCUGACGGUACCUGAGGAAUCAGCCUCGGCUAACUCCGUGCCAGCAGCCGCGGUAAUACGGAGGAGGCAAGCGUUAUCCGGAAUUAUUGGGCGUAAAGCGUCCGCAGGCGGUUAUUUAAGUCUGCUGUCAAAGCACGGGGCUUAACUCCGUUAAGGCAGUGGAAACUGAAUGGCUAGAGUGCCGUAGGGGUAGAGGGAAUUCCCGGUGUAGCGGUGAAAUGCGUAGAGAUCGGGAAGAACAUCGGUGGCGAAAGCGAUCUACUGGACCACACCUGACACUCAGAGGACGAAAGCUAGGGGAGCG
This 380-nucleotide ribosomal RNA is filed under the name uncultured cyanobacterium. Its description in RNAcentral is "bacterial SSU rRNA". It matches the Rfam family "Bacterial small subunit ribosomal RNA", at positions 376 to 770 of the family's 1533-position model. The record is from RNAcentral. Lineage: Bacteria; Bacillati; Cyanobacteriota.